Rhineura floridana is the source of this 606-nucleotide long non-coding RNA. RefSeq lists it as uncharacterized. Lineage: Eukaryota; Metazoa; Chordata; Lepidosauria; Squamata; Rhineuridae. The record is from RefSeq and is a predicted model, not a curated record. The transcript is spliced from 3 exons.
AGAAGAAUAAGGAAGGUCCUGCUUAGAAGCUUUUGGGUGAGACGUUUUCAGUCUUCUCUGAUUCUUAGUCUUCAAUUUUUCCUCAGGUCCAUGGGCUUUGCAGAAAGUGAGGCUAUCCAAAAAGCUGCCUGUAGAGCACUUAAUUCCAACUUAUGGCGACCCUAUGAAUAGGAUUUUUGUGAUGGAGAGGAAUCCAGCCAUAACACAUUUAGCUCAUGGAGCUACCAUGCAGAGGGGCUGCCUCCUUCAUUUCCAUGGAGAAAGUAGAGUUGCAUGUACAGAGGCAAGUCAAUGCACACCAAGGUCUACUUCCUUGGAAGGAAUGGAGGAACUCCUGUGAUCAGAGGGGCCUCGAUGUGUACACUGGCAGUCCCACACCCAUGGGAAGUCACUGAAUUCGGGUUGCAUGUUCCAGUGACCUACAUAUAUUGUCCUUUGGCUUCACAGCACAGUAAAUGCACUUCAGUUCCCAUGAACUUCUUUCCAUGGCCUCCUUUUAGAAAAAGAAACUGGAGAUCACAGGUUAUGUUGAGGAUGCCAGCUGAUUAUCCACAAGGGACCAUCAGUCAUUGUUCCUAAUUAUUGUUUCCCCCAUUCCCCAUCUGA